This 540-nucleotide ribosomal RNA is filed under the name uncultured bacterium. Its description in RNAcentral is "bacterial SSU rRNA". It matches the Rfam family "Bacterial small subunit ribosomal RNA", at positions 356 to 896 of the family's 1533-position model. The record is from RNAcentral.
GAGGAAUAUUGGUCAAUGGGCGUGAGCCUGAACCAGCCAAGUAGCGUGCAGGAUGACGGCCCUAUGGGUUGUAAACUGCUUUUAUACGGGGAUAAAAGGGUGAACGUGUUCUCCUUUGCAGGUACCGUAUGAAUAAGGACCGGCUAAUUCCGUGCCAGCAGCCGCGGUAAUACGGAAGGUCCUGGCGUUAUCCGGAUUUAUUGGGUUUAAAGGGAGCGCAGGCUGCACUUUAAGCGUGUUGUGAAAUGUACCGGCUCAACCGGUAACGUGCAGCGCGAACUGGAGUGCUUGAGUACGAAGAGGGAAAGCGGAACUCGUGGUGUAGCGGUGAAAUGCUUAGAUAUCACGAGGAACUCCGAUCGCGAAGGCAGCUUUCCGUUUCGGAACUGACGCUGAGGCUCGAAAGUGCGGGUAUCGAACAGGAUUAGAUACCCUGGUAGUCCGCACGGUAAACGAUGGAUGCUCGCUGUUGGAUAUUUUUAUUCAGUGGCUAAGUGAAAACGUUAAGCAUCCCACCUGGGGAGUACGCCGGCAACGGUG